This 253-nucleotide ribosomal RNA is filed under the name uncultured bacterium. RNAcentral's name for it is "partial 16S ribosomal RNA". It matches the Rfam family "Bacterial small subunit ribosomal RNA", at positions 524 to 776 of the family's 1533-position model. The record is from RNAcentral.
UACGUAGGGGGCGAGCGUUGUCCGGAAUCAUUGGGCGUAAAGCGCGUGUAGGCGGCCCGGUAAGUCCGCUGUGAAAGUCCAGGGCUCAACCCUGGGAUGCCGGUGGAUACUGUCGAGCUCGAGUCCGGAAGAGGCGAGUGGAAUUCCUGGUGUAGCGGUGAAAUGCGCAGAUAUCAGGAGGAACACCAAUGGCGAAGGCAGCUCGCUGGGACGUGACUGACGCUGAGACGCGAAAGCGUGGGGAGCAAACAGG